Esox lucius (northern pike) is the source of this 2125-nucleotide long non-coding RNA. The record is from Ensembl. Lineage: Eukaryota; Metazoa; Chordata; Actinopteri; Esociformes; Esocidae.
AGGAAAUUGGGCCGUUUGAACGACUUAUUGCACCAGGGCAGUACAAAAGUUGACUUGCUGUUAAACAGUUCUGCUGUUUACUUCCAUUUGAAAUACAUCUAAUCGUCAAAGUAACAAAGAUUAAGAGAUGCUAAACUUUUCUCUUGGAUUAUAGAAACUGAACUCUCUCAGAUCUGGCAAGGACACGCUUUCCAUCUCACUUUUAAUACUAGUUGGGUCUUUACAAUGUUAGGUGUUAAUACAGUUUGCUAUAGAAUUAUUUACAAACCAGUGCACUUUUUCCCCAUUUUCUUUUCCCCUCAUAAGCUCCUAGGGUGUUAUUAUGAAUUGUGCGUGUUUUCGGUCAACUAUCCCAGGAAGAUGAGUGUACAAAUAAGCUCACUUAAAAAAAAAAAAAAAAAGCAUUUAUUUUUUAUUCAGUCUUUUUGCGAAAGUAAUAUUUUUUUUUUUUUUUUUUACCUACUACAUCGAUCUGUUUGCCCUUUGGCCCCUGAUGUUUCGACUGCUCCUGAGAUGUUCAGGGCAAAGGCUGAAGUUUAAAUAGUUAUUCCAGUUUAUUUUUUUAUUUUUUACUCUGUCAGGUCAGACCUCAAUGAAAACAGAAAUAGGGUGAAGGGAGGCAACUCACUAUUGAGACGUACCCCAUAAUCGCAAAUGGUUUCUACGGCAACCGUAUAUCUUCCCGGCCAAUCGCCUCAGCCGAUCAGUCUCUCAGUGGACCCUUUUUAUUUAAAAAAAAACAAACAAACAAACAAACAAACAACAAAAAUAAUUAAAGAAAUCAUACGUUUUAUUUUGUAUGUUGUGUAUAUACUAUGAUGUCAUUUUCUUAAACUGUCUGAAGGUGUAUUUGGGAGACACUCAAGCGAAGGCCUUGGAAUUUUAUAACCAUAUCUUUGGUGGCGUCCCUGAUCGCACCCUAUUGCGCUUGUCAAAAAUAGUGCACUAUAUAGGGAAUAUGGUGCUAUUUCAGUUUUUACGCUAUUGCUCAGCUUCAGUCCCAGUUUUCGCCCCUAGACGCAUCUGUCUUACGACGUACUGUGUGGGGAUCAUUUGCAUGACUGGUACACACUAUCUAGGGGUUACAGAUUGUUUUGGGACUGGGCUAGAAUCUUCUGAAUGAGAGCUUUAAAAUUCCACCGCUGCCUUUUGCCUGCAAUACUUACAACCAGCUCCACCUUUGAUCCAUCUCAAGGAGCCGUAGUGUAAACCAGAGAAAUCACUUGCAUUGCUAAGCUAAUAGCCCGCUACACUGUAAAAGAAUGAGCUAGAGCUUCGUUGGAGUUCGACUGGCUAAGCUCGUGGCUAACACUUAUGUCAGUCGCUCUCGUGGCGACGGUGUGCUGAAGAGCACACCGCUGUGUGAUUCUGUCAGUGAAGCUAACGCUAAGCCGCGUCAUAACUCAAGUCACUUAGCCACAGUUGGAAUUGCUACAGUGUUAUUGAACUCUUGUUGCCUUAAAAACCACUACCUAGCAGAGACAGUUGUCACUCGCGUCAGCACCCUGGUGCCCGUUUGUCUCACAAAAGUAGCCUUUGUAGCGGAAACAUUGUAAACCGGUCAAGAUGUUGACUUAUUUUCAUUUUGGUUUAAUCAUGUCCGGACUGCCUUAACGAGCAAAUAUUAGGUCAGAUAGCUAGCCUACCAUUGGGGGUUUGUUUUUGUUUUUAUCCAUGAGGGAACCAUUUUGUAUAUUUCAACAAUCACAGGAUGCAACUACAGUGUUUCGCAUUGUCAAAAUGUUUUUCUUAAAAAUGUUCGCCAAAAUGUGUUUCGAACCUAUGUUGUCUGGGUUGGUGCGUUGGUAGUGUUGUCGUGUUCACCUGUUGCUAACUGUCAGUCAAUUGGUGCUGUACUUCAUUGAAAGGGAUGGUUGCUUUGUUACCAUGGGAACAGGUUAUGAUGACACAUACUGUAAAGUGACAGAGUUAAACCCAUCUUUUUUUCUGUUUGUUGCCAUAACGACGUUGUUUGUGUCAUGUUUGGUUUGUUUACGCGUACUUGUCUUGAUCAAAUCUCUUAAGUGCUGUUGUUUCUGGUAUUAUACACCGAUAAAAACCCUGUGAAACCGUUUUCAAAAUGGGUCACCAGUCAAUCUGUUUUCUUUAUUCAAACCAUCACCAC